Bufo bufo (common toad) is the source of this 153-nucleotide long non-coding RNA. RefSeq lists it as uncharacterized. The transcript is spliced from 3 exons. The record is from RefSeq and is a predicted model, not a curated record. Lineage: Eukaryota; Metazoa; Chordata; Amphibia; Anura; Bufonidae.
GGUAACCAGGAUAAUUACAUGAACCAUUACAUUUAACAUAGUUUUCUAUGCACAUUUCUGGAGGACAUAAGCAAAAUCAGACCUGAAGACAGUAUAAAGGCUCUUAGAAGAUAGUAGCGGGGUAGAGGCGUGUUUUCAAAUUCUGUCCGUAAA